This 253-nucleotide ribosomal RNA is filed under the name uncultured bacterium. Its description in RNAcentral is "partial 16S ribosomal RNA". It matches the Rfam family "Bacterial small subunit ribosomal RNA", at positions 524 to 776 of the family's 1533-position model. The record is from RNAcentral.
UACGUAGGGGGCAAGCGUUGUCCGGAAUCAUUGGGCGUAAAGAGCGCGUAGGCGGCCCAGUAAGUCCGCUCUGAAAGUCAGGGGCUCAACCCCUGGAUGCGGGUGGAUACUGCUGGGCUAGAGUCCGGAAGAGGCGAGUGGAAUUCCUGGUGUAGCGGUGAAAUGCGCAGAUAUCAGGAGGAACACCGAUGGCGAAGGCAGCUCGCUGGGACGGUACUGACGCUGAGGCGCGGAAGCGUGGGGAGCAAACAGG